CAGUCGCCGCGGUAAUACGUAGGUGGCGAGCGUUGUCCGGAAUUAUUGGGCGUAAAGGGAGCGCAGGCGGGCGAGUAAGUCUUUCUUAAAAGUGCGGGGCUCAACCCCGUGAGGGGAGAGAAACUACUCAUCUUGAGUGCAGGAGAGGAAAGCGGAAUUCCUAGUGUAGCGGUGAAAUGCGUAGAUAUUAGGAAGAACACCAGUGGCGAAGGCGGCUUUCUGGACUGUAACUGACGCUGAGGCUCGAAAGCCAGGGGAGCGAACGGGAUUAGAUACCCGCGUAGUCCCUGUCUCUUAUACA
Molecule: ribosomal RNA, 301 nt
Filed under: uncultured bacterium
Lineage: Bacteria
Description: partial 16S ribosomal RNA
Rfam family: Bacterial small subunit ribosomal RNA
Source: RNAcentral